RNAcentral lists this long non-coding RNA (969 nucleotides) under Parus major (Great Tit). Its description in RNAcentral is "lncRNA (ENSPMJG00000016987.1)". Lineage: Eukaryota; Metazoa; Chordata; Aves; Passeriformes; Paridae. The record is from RNAcentral.
GCAUUAUUAAUUGAUAUUUAUAAAGAAGUGCAUUAAGAGUUAUCUGGGUAUAGGCAUUACUACAAAGCUAUAAAUAUAUUUAGCUAGAUUUUAUAGUUCCUUAAGAUCAGUCACCAGAGACAGAGAAUGAUAUACAUUUGAUAUGAAUAACAUCUGUAUUUGUGUCUAAAUAGAGGGGGAAAUGCAUCUGUCUUUAGUAGAUGUCUCUUUUUAAUGUUUCAGCCUGCAAGAAAUGCACAUUAAUAGCAGCUUCUUCCCUGAGGAAGGUUUUGAACCGGAGUACUUGAGAAGAAACUUACAACAGAGCAGCCUAAAGUGCCACCCAGUCCCUUUUAAUUAGCACACAUAAGUCCCCCAACAUCCAAGAUAUGAUUGAGACUUUCUGCCAUUUCAUUUUAAUAUCAGUGUUAUAUGCUAACGUUUGUCAGACUAAGCUAAAAAACCACUUCUUUUUAUGUUGUUUCCCACAUGCAGAGCAGACCUCUUACAUUUUUGUUGGCUGCUAACGUACUAAGCGUUUUUUGGCAGCAUGCGGUUCUGGAUUGAAGCCAUGCAUGCAAGUCUUCCACAUGUCUGCUACUGAAGAAUGCUUGAAGCUGGGAGGCAAAUGGGGAUCAGAACUGUCUCAGCAUUGGAGCUGGUCUGUGUUUGAGGUUUACCCCAGUGUAGAAGAUAUAGAAGACAGACAAAUACGUCAGACAUGCACUUUGGGGGAGCAACUGUGUCCUGAAGACUCUUUUCCCAGACAGAAUCCUUUCCCAUUUGUGAUUCCAUUCCUAAGGCAGCACCCAGCCCAUUACACUCUCUCAUCAGCAUCUGCAGGUAUCUCCAGUUGUGCUCUUUUCCCAGCAUGUUCCCCAGGACAUUGGAAGAAGAGAAAAGCUGAAUCAAGUUGGAAAAAACAUGAAUAUUUCUGAACGUGUGGACACUUCUCACUUCUCAAGUGUGGGAGGAAUAUUUCACUGCCCC